This 735-nucleotide long non-coding RNA is filed under the name Mytilus galloprovincialis (Mediterranean mussel). The record is from RNAcentral. Lineage: Eukaryota; Metazoa; Mollusca; Bivalvia; Mytilida; Mytilidae.
GUGUCAUUAUACUGGAAAAAUAAAGAUUUAUUUAAUUUUAAUCGUGCAAAAGAAAGAUUUCUUGGCACCAUGAAGUCAUUUAAGACCCAAGCCACUUUGACAUUUUGUUUUUUUAACAAUUAUUUAAUCAUCUCUGAUAUUUUUUUGAUACAUUUUGUUCACAAAGUUGGUUUAUAUACAAUAGUUCAAGAAAAAUACAAAAAUAUUUUUGUAUAAGCGUGUUUUAUUCAAAGAAAAUAUUCAGAAAAAAUGAAUGACUUUUUGUCCUGUGACUUUCUGUCCUACAUUCACUUACACAGACCCACCUUGCUUGCAUCAUUCUCUAUUUCUUUCUCUCACACUCUCUCUUGUUCUAAUUACUGAAGAAAUAUAGGCAAACAUUUAAAAAAAAAUACCAUUUUAAUUUCCAAUUCCAAUUGAAAUACACUGCAUUUAAUUAAAGGAGACAACUCUCAAUCUAAGACCAAAUGUCUUAAAGGUGGCUCAUAUCUGAAAGCAAGUUUAACUAACAAUAAUCCCUAUCCUAACAAUCAAAAAAGAGAUCCACUCUGACAUCAAAUUUAUGCAAAAUAAACAGUUCACAAAUAUCAUUUUACAAAUAGACAUCUAUGUUAACACCACCAACACCCUUAAAUGAUGUACAUGUACUCUACUAAAAAAUGUUCUUUUCAUUUCUAGUGUAAUAUCUCUUUGUUAAACUUGCAAUAAACAUUCUUUAUUAAAUUUGCAUGUUUC